This 450-nucleotide ribosomal RNA is filed under the name uncultured Rhodocyclaceae bacterium. RNAcentral's name for it is "bacterial SSU rRNA". It matches the Rfam family "Bacterial small subunit ribosomal RNA", at positions 933 to 1382 of the family's 1533-position model. Lineage: Bacteria; Pseudomonadati; Pseudomonadota; Betaproteobacteria; Rhodocyclales; Rhodocyclaceae. The record is from RNAcentral.
UGGAUGAUGUGGAUUAAUUCGAUGCAACGCGAAAACCUUACCUACCCUUGACAUGUCCGGAAUCCCGAAGAGAUUUGGGAGUGCUCGCAAGAGAACCGGAACACAGGUGCUGCAUUGGCUGUCGUCAGCUCGUGUCGUGAGAUGUUGGGUUAAGUCCCGCAACGAGCGCAACCCUUGUCCUUAGUUGCCAGCAUUAAGUUGGGCACUCUAAGGAGACUGCCGGUGUUAAACCGGAGGAAGGUGGGGAUGACGUCAAGUCCUCAUGGCCCUUAUGUCCAGGGCUACACACGUGCUACAAUGGCCGGUACAAAGGGCUGCAAUACCGCAAGGUGGAGCGAACCCCAAAAAGCCGGUCUCAGUUCGGAUUGGAGUCUGCAACUCGACUCCAUGAAGUUGGAAUCGCUAGUAAUCGCGGAUCAGCAUGCCGCGGUGAAUACGUUCCCGGGCCUU